CAAAGGUUUGGUCCUGGCCUUACUGUUAAUUUUAAUUAGACCUACACAUGCAAGUUUCCGCCCACCUGUGAGUAUGCCCUCAAAACUAUAUACAAGUUAAAAGGAGCUGGUAUCAGGCACACUUAAAGUAGCCCAUGACACCUUGUUUAACCACGCCCCCACGGGACACAGCAGUGACUAACAUUGAGCCAUAAACGAAAGUUUGACUAAGUUAUAAUUACUUUAGGGUUGGUAAAUUUCGUGCCAGCCACCGCGGUCAUACGAUUAACCCAAAUUAAUAGAAUAACGGCGUAAAGCGUGUUUAAAUACUAAAUUAGCAAAUAAAGUUAAUAUCUAACUAAGCUGUAAUACGUUAUAGUUAGUACUAAAAUAUACUACUAAAGUGACUUUAAUUCAAUUGAAUACACGACAGCUAAGACACAAACUGGGAUUAGAUACCCCACUAUGCUUAGCCCUAAACCUAAAUUAUUACUUAACAAAAUAACUCGCCAGAGAACUACUAGCAAAUGCUUAAAACUCAAAGGACUUGGCGGUGCCCUAAACCCACCUAGAGGAGCCUGUUCUAUAAUCGAUAAACCCCGAUACACCUCACCCUCUCUUGCCAAUACAGUCUAUAUACCGCCAUCGUCAGCUCACCCCACAGGGCUAAAAAGUGGGCAAAAUCAUUAAUCAUAAAAACGUUAGGUCAAGGUGUAACAUAUGAGGAGGAAAGCAAUGGGCUACAUUCUCUACCCUAGAGUAUCACGAAUCAUCUUAUGAAAUAAAGAUGCUUGAAGGAGGAUUUAGUAGUAAAUUAAGAAUAGAGUGCUUAAUUGAAAUAGGCAAUAGGGCGCGCACACACCGCCCGUCACCCUCCUCAAUAUAAUCAAAAAUAUAAAUAAUCAGAUAAAUCUCCAAAGAGGAGAAAAGUCGUAACAUGGUAAGUGUACUGGAAAGUGCACUUGGACUAUC
This 951-nucleotide non-coding RNA is filed under the name Perameles eremiana (Desert bandicoot). RNAcentral describes it as "partial 12S ribosomal RNA". It matches the Rfam family "Bacterial small subunit ribosomal RNA". The record is from RNAcentral. Lineage: Eukaryota; Metazoa; Chordata; Mammalia; Peramelemorphia; Peramelidae.